CCUACGGGCGGCUGCAGUGGGGAAUAUUGGACAAUGGGCGAAAGCCUGAUCCAGCCAUGCCGCGUGUGUGAAGAAGGCCUUCGGGUUGUAAAGCACUUUCAGUGGGGAAGAAAGCCUUGGGGCUAAUACCCUCGAGGAAGGACAUCACCCACAGAAGAAGCACCGGCUAACUCCGUGCCAGCAGCCGCGGUAAUACGGAGGGUGCGAGCGUUAAUCGGAAUUACUGGGCGUAAAGCGCGCGUAGGCGGUCUGAUAAGCCGGUUGUGAAAGCCCCGGGCUCAACCUGGGAACGGCAUCCGGAACUGUCAGGCUAGAGUGCAGGAGAGGAAGGUAGAAUUCCCGGUGUAGCGGUGAAAUGCGUAGAGAUCGGGAGGAAUACCAGUGGCGAAGGCGGCCUUCUGGACUGACACUGACGCUGAGGUACGAAAGCGUGGGUAGCAAACAGGAUUAGAUACCCGCAGUAGUC
This 466-nucleotide ribosomal RNA is filed under the name Vreelandella stevensii. RNAcentral describes it as "partial 16S ribosomal RNA". It matches the Rfam family "Bacterial small subunit ribosomal RNA", at positions 338 to 795 of the family's 1533-position model. Lineage: Bacteria; Pseudomonadati; Pseudomonadota; Gammaproteobacteria; Oceanospirillales; Halomonadaceae. The record is from RNAcentral.